RNAcentral lists this ribosomal RNA (207 nucleotides) under uncultured bacterium. RNAcentral describes it as "partial 16S ribosomal RNA". It matches the Rfam family "Bacterial small subunit ribosomal RNA", at positions 568 to 774 of the family's 1533-position model. The record is from RNAcentral.
CGCGUAGGCGGCUUGGCAAGUCAGAUGUGAAAGCCCCGGGCUUAACUCGGGAAUUGCAUCUGAAACUGCUUUGCUUGAGUCCUGGAGGGGAUAGUGGAAUUCCCAGUGUAGCGGUGAAAUGCGUAGAUAUUGGGAGGAACACCUGCGGCGAAGGCGGCUAUCUGGACAGUGACUGACGCUGAUGCGCGAAAGCUAGGGGAGCGAACG